Molecule: unclassified non-coding RNA, 347 nt
Filed under: soil metagenome
Description: partial contains 5.8S ribosomal RNA, internal transcribed spacer 2, and large subunit ribosomal RNA
Rfam family: 5.8S ribosomal RNA (bases 1-120)
Source: RNAcentral
GAUGAAGAACGUAGUGAAAUGCGAUAAUUAAUGUGAAUUGCAGAAUUCAGUGAAUCAUCGAGUCUUUGAACGCACAUUGCGCCCCCUGGUAUUCCGGGGGACAUGCCUGUCCGAGCGUCAUUGCUGCCCUCAAGCACGGCUUGUGUGUUGGGCUUCCGUCCCUGGCAACGGGGACGGGCCCAAAAGGCAGUGGCGGCACCAUGUCUGGUCCUCGAGCGUAUGGGGCUUUGUCACCCGCUCCCGUAGGUCCAGCUGGCAGCUAGCCUCGCAACCAAUCUUUUUAACCAGGUUGACCUCGGAUCAGGUAGGGAUACCCGCUGAACUUAAGCAUAUCAAUAAGCGGAGGA